Molecule: ribosomal RNA, 253 nt
Filed under: uncultured bacterium
Lineage: Bacteria
Description: partial 16S ribosomal RNA
Rfam family: Bacterial small subunit ribosomal RNA
Source: RNAcentral
UACAGAGGUCCCAAGCGUUGUUCGGAUUCACUGGGCGUAAAGGGUGCGUAGGUGGCGGGGUAAGUUUGAUGUGAAAUCUCCGGGCUUAACCCGGAAAUGGCAUUGAAUACUAUUCUGCUGGAGGUUUGGAGGGGGGACUGGAAUUCUCGGUGUAGCAGUGAAAUGCGUAGAUAUCGAGAGGAACACCAGUGGCGAAGGCGAGUCCCUGGACAACACCUGACACUGAGGCACGAAAGCUAGGGGAGCAAACGGG